This is a long non-coding RNA of Rhinichthys klamathensis goyatoka, 804 nucleotides long. RefSeq lists it as uncharacterized. The record is from RefSeq and is a predicted model, not a curated record. NCBI's taxonomy places the organism in Eukaryota, Metazoa, Chordata, Actinopteri, Cypriniformes, Leuciscidae. The transcript is spliced from 4 exons.
UGAUAUUCUAUCAGAAAACAUUAAUAUUUUAUUUUCAUAUAGGCUGCAAUGGCAAUGGGAAGCCAUGUCCCUCAAAAAAGAAAGAGGACUAAGAGAGGGAAAGCAGUCGCAAGCGUAGCGGCCACAAGUAACAGACGUAAGAAACGUCAAAAAGCAGAACGUCGUGCAUUAGCUUCUGAAGUUCAAGUGAUCACAGUGUCUGAGGAAGUCCCUCAGAUCGAAGAAGAGAUGACUGCAAGUCUUGAAACGUGUCUUCAACAGCUGAGGGACACUCUUGACUCAGUUGAGGUUAAUGUGGCAGCUGAAAAAACAGCAUGGGCACAGCGGCAGCUACACGCUGAUACAAGGGCAAAAGCAGCAAGGCCAGUGCUGCUCGAUGCUAAACUGUCCGCUGAAAGAGACUUCUACCAAAAAUACACUAUAUAGUUUUGAUGUCUUUGAAGCUUUUGCUCACAUCAAAGUAUCGGCUCCUUCGAUGUCAAGGCAUGCCUUUUUAAAGCUACUGGAGCACCGUUCUGUUCAGGCUGGAAGGGCAAAUCUGCUUGAAUCAUUGUUACACACAAUCAUAUUACUGUAAUAUUGUAAUAUUUCUUUUCUGUAAACACAAUUUUUUUUUUAUGUCAUAGCCGGGGAAUGUCUGUGCAGAUACGUUCCAGAAAAGCUUUUUCGAAUAUUGUUUUUGCAAGCAUACAGAAGAGGUGAUGUGUGAAGUAAAUGACUUUUAUUGUCCAGCAUGUCACCCAGACAUGUUGGCAGUGUGUUGCGAUGGCAAUCGCAAACAUUAUCGCUUCAAAAAAUCAAGGG